GCAGAACGGAUCAGCGUGAGGACAGAGAGGAGGGAGCCCCUCCCCCAAAGACCACCGACAGGACACCCCCAGGACCUGGACCUGGACCCGACAGACCCCCCAAAGCUCAGAGACCAGGACCUGAACCAGGACCAGGACCCAGCUGUGUGUCCAUGAAGAAGUACUGACUCCAAGAAGUCCUUUGUGACCUUCCAACAGGAGCGUUCCUCAGAGUCAGCGAUCCACCACAGACCACAGUCCUCUGGACCUGAUCCUGGACCUGGAUCCAGUUGUGUGUCCUUCAGGAGUAACCGGUCCAAGGAUGACCC
Sphaeramia orbicularis (orbiculate cardinalfish) is the source of this 308-nucleotide long non-coding RNA. RefSeq lists it as uncharacterized. The record is from RefSeq and is a predicted model, not a curated record. NCBI's taxonomy places the organism in Eukaryota, Metazoa, Chordata, Actinopteri, Kurtiformes, Apogonidae. The transcript has 3 exons.